RNAcentral lists this ribosomal RNA (1436 nucleotides) under uncultured bacterium. RNAcentral describes it as "bacterial SSU rRNA". It matches the Rfam family "Bacterial small subunit ribosomal RNA". The record is from RNAcentral.
AGAGUUUGAUCCUGGCUCAGAACGUACGCUGGCGGCACGCCUAACACAUGCAAGUCGAACGAAGUAGCAAUACUUAGUGGCAGACGGGUGAGUAACAUGUGGGUAUCUGCCCUUUGGCCUGGAAUAACACGAGGAAACUUGUGCUAAUACCGGAUAAGUCUUUACGGAGAAAGCUUUAUGCACCAUUGGAUGAGCCCGCACUUGAUUAGUUUGUUGGUGGGGUAAUGGCCUACCAAGACUGUGAUCAAUAGCUGAUUUGAGAGGAUGAUCAGCCACAUUGGGACUGAGACACGGCCCAAACUCCUACGGGAGGCAGCAGUGGGGAAUCUUGCACAAUGGAGGAAACUCUGAUGCAGCGAUGCCGCGUGAGUGAAGAAGGCCCUUGGGUUGUAAAGCUCUUUCGUCGGGGAAGAAAAUGACUGUACCCGAAUAAGAAGGUCCGGCUAACUUCGUGCCAGCAGCCGCGGUAAUACGAAGGGACCUAGCGUAGUUCGGAAUUACUGGGCUUAAAGAGUUCGUAGGUGGUUGAAAAAGUUAGUGGUGAAAUCCCAGAGCUUAACUCUGGAACUGCCAUUAAAACUUUUCAGCUAGAGUAUGAUAGAGGAAAGCAGAAUUUCUAGUGUAGAGGUGAAAUUCGUAGAUAUUAGAAAGAAUACCAAUUGCGAAGGCAGCUUUCUGGAUCAUUACUGACACUGAGGAACGAAAGCAUGGGUAGCGAAGAGGAUUAGAUACCCUCGUAGUCCAUGCCGUAAACGAUGUGUGUUAGACGUUGGAAAUUUAUUUUCAGUGUCGCAGCGAAAGCGAUAAACACACCGCCUGGGGAGUACGACCGCAAGGUUAAAACUCAAAUGAAUUGACGGGGACCCGCACAAGUAGUGGAGCAUGUGGUUUAAUUCGAAGAUACGCGCAGAACCUUACCAACACUUGACAUGUUCGUCGCGACUCUAAGAGAUUAGAGUUUUCGGUUCGGCCGGACGAAACACAGGUGCUGCAUGGCUGUCGUCAGCUCGUGUCGUGAGAUGUUGGGUUAAGUCCCGCAACGAGCGCAACCCUCACUUUUAGUUGCCAUCAUUAAGUUGGGCACUCUGAAAGAACUGCCAGUGAUAAGCUGGAGGAAGGUGGGGAUGACGUCAAGUCCUCAUGGCCCUUACGUGUUGGGCUACACACGUGCUACAAUGGUAUCUACAACAGGAAGCAAGACUGCGAGGUCAAGCAAAUCCUUAAAAGAUACCUCAGUUCGGAUUGCACUCUGCAACUCGAGUGCAUGAAGCUGGAAUUACUAGUAAUCGUGGAUCAGCGUGCCACGGUGAAUGCGUUCCCGGGUCUUGUACACACCGCCCGUCACACCAUGGGAGUUGGUUCUACCUUAAGGCAAGGUUUCAAACCCUUGACCACGGUAUAGUCAGCGACUGGGGUGAAGUCGUAACAAGGUAACC